Molecule: ribosomal RNA, 1340 nt
Filed under: uncultured bacterium
Lineage: Bacteria
Description: bacterial SSU rRNA
Rfam family: Bacterial small subunit ribosomal RNA
Source: RNAcentral
GACGAACGCUGGCGGCGUGCUUAACACAUGCAAGUCGAACGGUGAUGCAGAGCUUGCUCUGCGGAUCAGUGGCGAACGGGUGAGUAACACGUGAGUAACCUGCCCUUGACUCUGGGAUAAGCGUUGGAAACGACGUCUAAUACCGGAUACGACCCGUGGAGGCAUCUCCUGCGGGUGGAAAGAAUUUUGGUUGAGGAUGGACUCGCGGCCUAUCAGCUUGUUGGUGAGGUAACGGCUCACCAAGGCGACGACGGGUAGCCGGCCUGAGAGGGUGACCGGCCACACUGGGACUGAGACACGGCCCAGACUCCUACGGGAGGCAGCAGUGGGGAAUAUUGCACAAUGGGCGAAAGCCUGAUGCAGCAACGCCGCGUGAGGGAUGACGGCCUUCGGGUUGUAAACCUCUUUUGGCAGGGAAGAAGCGAAAGUGACGGUACCUGCAGAAAAAGCACCGGCUAACUACGUGCCAGCAGCCGCGGUAAUACGUAGGGUGCAAGCGUUGUCCGGAAUUAUUGGGCGUAAAGAGCUCGUAAGCGGUUUGUCGCGUCUGCUGUGAAAACGCGAGGCUCAACCUCGCGCCUGCAGUGGGUACGGGCAGACUAGAGUGCGGUAGGGGAGAUUGGAAUUCCUGGUGUAGCGGUGGAAUGCGCAGAUAUCAGGAGGAACACCGAUGGCGAAGGCAGAUCUCUGGGCCGUUACUGACGCUGAGGAGCGAAAGCGUGGGGAGCGAACAGGAUUAGAUACCCUGGUAGUCCACGCCGUAAACGUUGGGAACUAGAUGUGGGGUCCAUUCCACGGAUUCCGUGUCGCAGCUAACGCAUUAAGUUCCCCGCCUGGGGAGUACGGCCGCAAGGCUAAAACUCAAAGGAAUUGACGGGGGCCCGCACAAGCGGCGGAGCAUGCGGAUUAAUUCGAUGCAACGCGAAGAACCUUACCAAGGCUUGACAUGCACCUGAAAAGGCUGGAAACAGUCUCCUCGCAAGACAGGUGCACAGGUGGUGCAUGGUUGUCGUCAGCUCGUGUCGUGAGAUGUUGGGUUAAGUCCCGCAACGAGCGCAACCCUCGUUCUAUGUUGCCAGCGCGUAAUGGCGGGAACUCAUAGGAGACUGCCGGGGUCAACUCGGAGGAAGGUGGGGAUGACGUCAAAUCAUCAUGCCCCUUAUGUCUUGGGCUUCACGCAUGCUACAAUGGCCGGUACAAAGGGCUGCAAUACCGUAAGGUGGAGCGAAUCCCAAAAAGCCGGUCUCAGUUCGGAUUGAGGUCUGCAACUCGACCUCAUGAAGUCGGAGUCGCUAGUAAUCGCAGAUCAGCAACGCUGCGGUGAAUACGUUCCCGGGCCU